RNAcentral lists this ribosomal RNA (639 nucleotides) under Saitozyma cf. podzolica. RNAcentral's name for it is "LSU rRNA". It matches the Rfam family "Eukaryotic large subunit ribosomal RNA", at positions 38 to 666 of the family's 3401-position model. The record is from RNAcentral. Lineage: Eukaryota; Fungi; Basidiomycota; Tremellomycetes; Tremellales; Trimorphomycetaceae.
GCAUAUCAAUAAGCGGAGGAAAAGAAACUAACAAGGAUUCCCCUAGUAGCGGCGAGCGAAGCGGGAUGAGCUCAAAUUUGAAAGCUGGUGUCCUUCGGGCAUCCGCAUUGUAAUCUAUAGAGGCGUUUUCCGUGCCGGACCGUGUCCAAGUCCCUUGGAACAGGGUAUCAAAGAGGGUGACAAUCCCGUACUUGACACGACGACCGGUGCUCUGUGAUACGUCUUCUACGAGUCGAGUUGUUUGGGAAUGCAGCUCAAAAUGGGUGGUAAAUUCCAUCUAAAGCUAAAUAUUGGCGAGAGACCGAUAGCGAACAAGUACCGUGAGGGAAAGAUGAAAAGCACUUUGGAAAGAGAGUUAAACAGUAUGUGAAAUUGUUGAAAGGGAAACGAUUGAGGUCAGUCGUGUCUGUAGGAUUCAGCCGUCUCUGGCGGUGUAUUUCCUGCAGACGGGUCAACAUCAGUUCUGACCGGUGGAUAAUGGCAGGAGGAAUGUGGCACCCUCGGGUGUGUUAUAGCCUCUUGUCGCAUACAUCGGUUGGGACUGAGGACUGCAGCUCGCCUUUAUGGCCGGGGUUCGCCCACGUUCGAGCUUAGGAUGUUGACAAAAUGGCCUUAAACGACCCGUCUUGAAACACGGAC